Zingiber officinale is the source of this 238-nucleotide long non-coding RNA. RefSeq lists it as uncharacterized. The transcript has 3 exons. Lineage: Eukaryota; Viridiplantae; Streptophyta; Magnoliopsida; Zingiberales; Zingiberaceae. The record is from RefSeq and is a predicted model, not a curated record.
UAUCACAGUAGUAGUUUGGUGAAAAGAAGUGAAGUGCAGGUGAUUUAUUGGGUUCCAACAGUUAAUCCUAUUCCAGCAGCGCUAUCCCUAGCAGUGGAUCAUUAUUAGGGACUGUGAGUUUAAGGACUUUGACGCGAGACAAAUAUCUUGACGUCGAAUUUGGACUGGAUAUGAUCCUUAUAUUUGAGGCGGGUACUUUUGACUUUAUGUCUUUGAUAUGCAUAGUAGUGAAUUUAAC